GCCGGUGUGGCUCAGUGGAUAGAGCGUCAGACUGCAGAUCGAAGGGCACCCGGUUCCAUUCGGUCAAGGGCA
RNAcentral lists this transfer RNA (72 nucleotides) under Myotis davidii. It matches the Rfam family "tRNA". Rfam says of the family: Transfer RNA (tRNA) molecules are approximately 80 nucleotides in length. Their secondary structure includes four short double-helical elements and three loops (D, anti-codon, and T loops). The record is from Rfam by way of RNAcentral. Lineage: Eukaryota; Metazoa; Chordata; Mammalia; Chiroptera; Vespertilionidae.